Molecule: non-coding RNA, 72 nt
Organism: Phrynosoma platyrhinos (Desert horned lizard)
Lineage: Eukaryota; Metazoa; Chordata; Lepidosauria; Squamata; Phrynosomatidae
Source: the annotation of a GenBank genome assembly
GCCAGUGUGGCUCAGUGGUUUGAGUAUUAGACUACAACUCUGGAGAUCAGGGUCCGAUUCCCUGCUCGAGGA